Long non-coding RNA from Gordionus sp. m RMFG-2023, 198 nucleotides. RefSeq lists it as uncharacterized. The transcript is spliced from 3 exons. NCBI's taxonomy places the organism in Eukaryota, Metazoa, Nematomorpha, Gordioida, Chordodea, Parachordodidae. The record is from RefSeq and is a predicted model, not a curated record.
AGCGAUACGAAGAUCAGGAGACGUUCUAGUGUAGGAAUCGCCACGGUUUAUCGCGCAUUGAGUUCUCUCAAAUCUAAGCCAGAGAGCGAAACGGAAAAAACAGAAAGGGUGAGCGAUGUCGCGACCGAAAAAGAACCUAGAAGAAGAUCCCGUUCCAAAGAGGUUAAAAAAUCCGAAUCGCAAAUAAAUCGUUCCAGG